GAUGAAGAACGCAGCGAAAUGCGAUAAGUAAUGUGAAUUGCAGAAUUCAGUGAAUCAUCGAAUCUUUGAACGCACAUUGCGCCCCUUGGUAUUCCGAGGGGCAUGCCUGUUCGAGCGUCAUUUCAACCCUCAAGCACAGCUUGGUCUUGGGCUUCGCCGCUAACCCGGCGGGUCCUAAAAUCAGUGGCGGUGCCGUCGGGCCCUGAGCGCAGUAAUUUCUCUCGCUAUAGGGUCCCGGCGGAUGCUGGCCAGUAACCCCCAAUUUUCUAUGGUUGACCUCGGAUCAGGUAGGGAUACCCGCUGAACUUAAGCAUAUCAAUAAGCGGAGGA
RNAcentral lists this unclassified non-coding RNA (330 nucleotides) under soil metagenome. Its description in RNAcentral is "partial contains 5.8S ribosomal RNA, internal transcribed spacer 2, and large subunit ribosomal RNA". The stretch from base 1 to 120 matches the Rfam family "5.8S ribosomal RNA", at positions 35 to 154 of the family's 154-position model. The record is from RNAcentral.